RNAcentral lists this ribosomal RNA (120 nucleotides) under Castor canadensis (American beaver). The record is from RNAcentral. Lineage: Eukaryota; Metazoa; Chordata; Mammalia; Rodentia; Castoridae.
GUCUAUAGCCAUACCACCCUAAAUGUGCCUGAUCUCGUCUUAUCUUAGAAGCUAAGCAGGGUCGGGCCUGGUUAGUACUUGGAUGGAAGACUGAUCUUCAGAAGAGACGGCUCAGAGGCA